AUGUCAGCAUCACAACUAGGUACCUUCGUUCCCAGGACAUUAGGGCCAUUUAACUGUUUGACUCUACUGAAUGAAGCCUUCGAAAGUGCCUUAGCUGGAGCGGGUCCUGGGUUGGGCGCUGAGUCGAUGGACAACAUUGAUUCAAGUAAAUACAAGGAAGAUGCAGACCGCUCAACCAAUGUUAAAACUAAAAAACUGUGUACAUCAAAUAGAUAACUUAAUGGCAUGAUAAUUCCCAGGGGAAUAAUUAUACACGAAAGGGUGGUAGGAAGCCAUGAAAUUUCUGUUAGUCUUCUACAUUCAGUUAGUCUAGGGAAGCUAUAAGAAGGGAGGGAUUUUAAGAUAUGUUUCAGUGAAAGAAUGUGCCUUCUCCAAUAUCUUAUCUUGGGUAGCAAAUUCCUAUUUUGGUGUUUUUCUUGCAUUCAUCAUCGUGGGCAGUUAUUUAGACAUGUAGACACAGUGAAUCUUCACACCAGUGGGAGUUAUACCCAUACAUUUCUGCAAAUAAUAGGAAUAAUUGUUAAAUGUAGCUUCCUGGAAAAAUUGCAAAAAACCUUAUCUCACUAGGAGUUGAUAAUAUCCUAAUUCUGGACUUGGAACACUAUGGAUAGGUUUUUUAAAUUGCUACAUUUUAUUUUCUACAUGUGUGUGAGGAGUCUGAAAAAUGAACUGCCAAGGUGUGCUUAUUAAUAUAAUUCAUUAGAUAUGCUUGAGAUUAUUCCUGAGGAUGAAGUGUCCAUUAAUUAUGUUCCUUUGCUUGAUGUAUUGUGGCAUAGGAAAUAUUGUAAUUUAUUGUAUACUGAAUUAUUUAAAAUUCCUAAUAAUAAGAUAGCUCCUUCGAUGGGCAGUAUAUAUAAUAUGAAUAUGAAUUCAUGAUACAGAGUGAGAUUUAAUAAAAUAAAAUUUAUCAUGGAGAACCAACUCCUACUUCAUAUACAUUUUUUUCUUAAUACACUUUGUAUGUGCUGCUGCAAGAAUGCUGUGACUUGCUUUUUGAAAUUACAGCUCUCCAGAAUGAGAGGGAAGCUUGAUUUGAUUAAUUAUNNNNNNNNNNNNNNNNNNNNNGGGGAGGGAAGAAAAUGGUUUUGACUUUAGUUUUUGCAUAAUUGCUGCUUUUUGGAUUUACAUCACUUCCAUCAGUUGUUGAGAAAUGAAGGAGUAAUUUAUUUUAAAGAGAGAGAUAAGAUGAAGAGUCGAGGGCAUCACUAUGGAGCAGCGAUGACAUUUAACUCCUGCUCUAAUGUGGUGAUCAGUAAGAUGAGAGAAGGCNNNUAUUAAAAUGUUAGUAUCGCACUUUGUGGGUGUUUUUCAAGCUUUAAGAAAAUAGUCAUUCUUAUAUUUAGAGGACGAUUUUUUAGAUGAUUUGCAUUUUACUUAACUGACAACAUUAGAUGUUACAUUAAAAGGAACACAAUGGAUUCCUUAUGUACAGCUUUCUUGAAAGCAUUUGUGAUGAUCUUUGAAUUUGGUAUUCAUUAUCCUACUUAGAAGUAUAAUUGAGAUUCAUUUCAGUUCUUCUUAGUCAAAUAAUCAUAAUGAGAGAGAAAAUAUUUAUUGCUGGGAACAAGACAAUGGUGUAGAUGGGAAGCAUUAGGAAAACAGAAA
Molecule: long non-coding RNA, 1605 nt
Filed under: Capra hircus (goat)
Lineage: Eukaryota; Metazoa; Chordata; Mammalia; Artiodactyla; Bovidae
Description: lncRNA (ENSCHIG00010007677.1)
Source: RNAcentral